Molecule: ribosomal RNA, 240 nt
Filed under: uncultured bacterium
Lineage: Bacteria
Description: partial 16S ribosomal RNA
Rfam family: Bacterial small subunit ribosomal RNA
Source: RNAcentral
GUCCCCGCAACGAGCGCAACCCCCUAUCUUCUGUUACCAGCACGGUGGAUGUGGGGACUCAGGAGAGACUGCGCAGACAAUGCGGAGGAAGGCGGGGAUGACGUCAAGUCAUCAUGCCCCUUAUGGCUUGGGCUACACACGUACUACAAUGGCUCUUAAUAGAGGGAAGCGAAAGGGCGACCUGGAGCAAACCCCAAAAACAGAGUCCCAGUUCGGAUUGCAGGCUGCAACCCGCCUGCA